CUCUCCCCAGAUACCACAGCAAAGCACUCUCCCCUUAGAUUUCGCACCCUCUGGAGCAUCUUCCUGGAUUUUUUUUUCCAGUAGCAGGGAUUGAACUCAGGACCUUGAGCUUUACAAGAAUGUAUGGUGUUUUCAAGUGAAGAAUGCAGGGACUUGUCAGGAUUUUCUGCAACCCAGAUUUCUAUGAAAAGGGCUCUAAGAAGACACAGAAAGAUGUCAAAGGAUAUCGGCAAAGCCAGAACCCCAGUUACUGCUCCUGACAGCUUACAUCCAGUGGGGAGAGAUGCUGAUAAACGCAGCAGAUAAAGGCACAUCAGGAGCUGACAAGCUGGGAGGGACAGUGUGGCAAGAUAAG
This 355-nucleotide long non-coding RNA is filed under the name Heterocephalus glaber (naked mole-rat). RNAcentral describes it as "lncRNA (ENSHGLG00000048254.1)". Lineage: Eukaryota; Metazoa; Chordata; Mammalia; Rodentia; Bathyergidae. The record is from RNAcentral.